This 465-nucleotide ribosomal RNA is filed under the name uncultured ammonia-oxidizing bacterium. Its description in RNAcentral is "bacterial SSU rRNA". It matches the Rfam family "Bacterial small subunit ribosomal RNA", at positions 198 to 644 of the family's 1533-position model. The record is from RNAcentral.
GGAGGAAAGUAGGGGAUCGCAAGACCUUGCGCUUUUUGAGCGGCCGAUGCCUGAUUAGCUAGUUGGUAAGGUAAUGGCUUACCAAGGCAACGAUCAGUAGCUGGUCUGAGAGGACGACCAGCCACACUGGGACUGAGACACGGCCCAGACUCCUACGGGAGGCAGCAGUGGGGAAUUUUGGACAAUGGGCGAAAGCCUGAUCCAGCCAUGCCGCGUGAGUGAAGAAGGCCUUCGGGUUGUAAAGCUCUUUCGGUCGGGAAGAAAUAGUUGUGGCUAAUAUCCACAAUGAAUGACGGUACCGACAUAAGAAGCACCGGCUAACUACGUGCCAGCAGCCGCGGUAAUACGUAGGGUGCAAGCGUUAAUCGGAAUUAUUGGGCGUAAAGGGUGCGCAGGCGGUUGUAUAAGUCAGAUGUGAAAUCCCUGGGCUUAGCCUAGGAAUUGCGUUUGAAACUACAAAGCUAG